AGGGUUGUAGCUCAGUGGUAGAGCUCUUCCCUCACAUAAGAAGCACUAGGUUCAAUCCUCAGCACCACAA
RNAcentral lists this transfer RNA (70 nucleotides) under Marmota monax (woodchuck). RNAcentral describes it as "tRNA.SeC". The record is from RNAcentral. Lineage: Eukaryota; Metazoa; Chordata; Mammalia; Rodentia; Sciuridae.